CAGAGUGUACCCUCAGCAAGGUGGCUGGUGACACCAAACUAGGAGGACUGGCUGAUUCCCCAGAGGCUGUGCUGCCAUUCAGCGGGACCUCGACCGGCUUGAGAGCUGGGCAGAGAGGAACCUCAUGAGGUUCAACAAGGGCAAGUGCAGAAUCCUACAUCUGGGAAGGAUCAAGCCCACCCACCAGUACUGGCUGGGGCUCAAACUGCUGAAGAGCAGCUCUGCAGAGAGAGACCUGGGAGUCUUGAUUGAUAAUAAGCUGAAUAUGAGCCAGCACUGUGCCCUGUUGGCCAAGAAGGCCAAUGGCAGCCUGGGAUGCAUCAAGAAGAGUGUGGCCAGCAGGUCGAGGGAGGUUCUUCUCCCCCUCUCCUCUGCCCUGGUGAGGCCUCAUCUGGAGUCCUGUGCCCAGUUCUGGGCUCCUCAGCUCAAGAGGGACAAGGAAGUGCUGAAGAGAGUCUAGCGUAGGGCCACCAAGAUGAUCAGGGUUAUGGAACAUCUUUCAUGCAAGGAAAGGCUGCAUUCAACGCAAAGUGUAGGAAAGCUGCCGUGGCUUACAGAAAAACCUGCUCUCAGAACAAUUUUAGGAGGCUCUAGGCUGGCAUAAGAAGAAUUAUGACAAAAAGGCAUGAUAGGGACAUACCCUGAUUUCUCAAAAUCAGACUGUUGAUAAUGGUAAGAGUUAAGGCAAAUUCAGGAAGGCCCAAAAUUAAUACACUGGGACUGAGGCGGUAGGAAUCACAGUCUGCAAAUGUGUCUGGUAAGUCAUAUUUCAGCACCCCAUAGAGUUACAGCAAAAGCACUGGAUCUGUACCUUUGUUUCCAUCAGAGGACUCAGAGUCUCACUGAAGCACUGCUCUUCGGUCAUGCAGGAACAACAUUAAAGUAGAGAUGUCUCAUUAGCUGUUCCAUGAUACACUUUCAGUCAGCUCAUUUCUUCUCCCCUUCCUUUUCAGAUAAAUCCAUCUGUAAUUAUAGUGGGAAUAAUAAGCUCUGACAUAUUUGAUGUAAGAAAAACUGAAGAUAAGCAAUAGAUUUGCUUAUGAAGUUGUUAGAAUAACCCUAUUUUACAGUGACAGCCUGUCAAGACAACAUGUCUAAAUUAUAUUCCAUAUUUCCCUUCCAAUGUGUGCCCUAGUCUUUGUCAAAAAUAAACUCUCCACCUUAGUAAUGAGCGUGCCUAAAUAAAUGAUACAUUGCCAAGGAAAUAGAGGCUUCAUUCAGAUUGAUGUUAAUUUUAAAAUAUGGAGAAAUAAGUUUUAAUCUCCAUGAUGCCACUAAAAUUGUCACAAAACCUAUGCAGCAUUUUUUCAGUUUCCAAAAGCUCAUUAGCUGUGUCAGGAAGGUAAUUCUCUGAUAACUGCAGGAAGAAACACUGCAAGUUCUACAAGGGACAGUCAAAAUCAUCUUUUGAAGUGUUUUAGAUUAAGAACCGUGUGCACAAGAUUAUAUUUCUAUUUGAAGUUAAUUUCAGCAGUCCUAUCACUUCCCAGUCAAAGUAGUUGCUCUAGGGAUUAUUACAAAGCACAAUUUUCUUUCUGUCCCUAUGACCACUAUUAAUCAAAAAAUAAUUACAUCUACUUCUGCAGUCAAGGCACAUCUAUAACUGAAACAGUAACUUUGCCAAAACUAUGGUCUUCAUUCCCAAAAUGAAAUUGAGUUAAAAAAGAAAAGAUUCAUAACUUUCACAAAACAUAGCAAAAGAAGGAAUUAUCUAUUACAGUGUUGUUAGCUCUACCUACUCUAGACUGCUUGAUAUUGGCCUUUACAUAAUGGAUUUACAGACAGCCAUUAUAUAUACACUGACACUGUUUUCAGUCACUUAUCAUUUUAAUUGAGUAUUAACAUGUACAGUUCAAGUUUUCAGAAUUUGUGUCUACCAUGGCAUUUUUUGUUGUUGUUCUUAUUUUAACUUCAGCAUCAUCCCCUUUCAACUUAUUUAUCGUGUUGUACAUGCACUGUCCAUCCCCAGCAAAUCCUGUACCAAACAAGUGACCCAAUGUGACACAGGACUACAGGGAUGAAUACACUCUGGGCCAAAGCUGCUGGAUGAGUGUACCAGAAAUAACACUUGGAGCCCUCAUUUCUUUGUGUAGACCAGGGGAAAGCUGGGUUGAUCCUUCUGCCUCCUCCUGCAAGACAUCACAGCACUGGCAAUUCUGUGGGGACAGACGGAUCUUCGUAAGAAGAUGAGUUUGGCCAUCUUUGUUCUCUCAUAAGCAGCUGGGAGCUAGUCCAAGGAAAUUUCUGCAUGUGCUACAUCGUGCCGUCACAUGCAGGACUCUGCUCACAAGGAAUAUGAAGGAACAGUUUCGUCUCUGCAGUGUGGAAAUCACUACUUUCUUUUUCUGUUGUAGGUAUGAAGAAAUGUUGACAAGAGGGACAAUUGCAGAGGACCUGCCCACUGGAUAUAGGUGGGACAAGGCUGUUCCUGUGCAGCUUGCUUCCAGUCUACAAAAGGCCAGUAAGAUUUCUGCUUUUAGUAAGGAUCCUCUACCUAGCAAGCAUAAGCACACAUCACUCCUGGAAGAAGCAAAAAAAAAAGCCUGGUAGAUGUGGAAAACCUCUUGGCACCAUGAAGAUGACUGGACUACACAUGCAGCCAUCCACUUAAGACCAAGGAAUCUGAGGUGCUCCAGUGUCCAUCUGAGCAUAUUUUAUCUGACUGAAAUAGUAAAAUCCCAGACCAAUGCUGCAGAUGAAGAGGAAGCAGCCAUGAUAGGAAGCCGAAGUUGUGUCAUGUGCUCUGCAAGCCACAGAAGUCCAAGCCAAGCCAUAACCCUGAACCCUCACUUAAGACUCUUCAAAGUAAAGA
Colius striatus (speckled mousebird) is the source of this 2812-nucleotide long non-coding RNA. RefSeq lists it as uncharacterized. Lineage: Eukaryota; Metazoa; Chordata; Aves; Coliiformes; Coliidae. The transcript is spliced from 5 exons. The record is from RefSeq and is a predicted model, not a curated record.